Long non-coding RNA from Macrobrachium nipponense, 737 nucleotides. RefSeq lists it as uncharacterized. The record is from RefSeq and is a predicted model, not a curated record. The transcript has 5 exons. Lineage: Eukaryota; Metazoa; Arthropoda; Malacostraca; Decapoda; Palaemonidae.
CAGUAAUAACAUGUGCAGUAGUUACAGUAGUAGUAACUAUCAUUUUAUAUAUUUUUUAUCAUUCCAGACUCCCAAGCACCUGCCCAUCCCACUCCAUAGCCCAGCCACCCACUCUCAUGUACCAUAUGGCCAUCCCAGUAAGCAAGCCAACCACUAGAAUUUGACUGGCAUGCACCUGUGACUUACAUAAACCAGACCUCUACAUAGCCUACAUGUCUUCAUUUUGCUGAAGACUGCCCAUCAUCCUAGCCUGUUAUCUGUGAUAAAGCACACUGAAGUUAGGUUUGGAAUGCAUCCUUAUCAUGAAUGCUCUACACCUCCACCUCCAUCUCCCACAACCUAGGUAACAGCUUUGAGACUCACUAAAAGUUGAACCCCCUGAAUGAUGUAGGCUAUGGGGCCACAUAAGACUUUGUCCAUCCAGGGUUACAUUGAACGACAACUUUAAACUAAAAAACCAACAUUUUUCACACAACUCCAGGUUGUUACUAACAAAUUACUACUACAAGUGUCAUCAAGGGAUAACUACAAGUAGAAGCACCAUUUUUGGAUGGAAAAAAACCCUUCAGGAAAGUAUACGUAUCACAUGUAACAUGUAGUGUAACAAAGUAUGAACAGUAAGGUUUUUACAUACAGUAGUAUUACAUACGUACAUAACUUUUUUUUACAGGAAUUUCCAACCAAGUUUGAUUAUGUACAUACAUGUUAUAAACCACUGUACGUAUGGUUACUGUAUG